UACAGAGGUCCCAAGCGUUGUUCGGAUUCACUGGGCGUAAAGGGUGCGUAGGCGGUUGGGUAAGUCUGAUGUGAAAUCUCACAGCUUAACUGUGAAACUGCAUUGGAUACUAUCCGGCUAGAGGAAUGGAGGGGAGACUGGAAUGACUUGGUGUAGCAGUGAAAUGCGUAGAUAUCAAGUGGAACACCAGUGGCGAAGGCGAGUCUCUGGACAUUUCCUGACGCUGAGGCACGAAAGCCAGGGGAGCAAACGGG
Molecule: ribosomal RNA, 254 nt
Filed under: uncultured bacterium
Lineage: Bacteria
Description: partial 16S ribosomal RNA
Rfam family: Bacterial small subunit ribosomal RNA
Source: RNAcentral